AACGUUAUAUCAUUCAUGACUACACCUAGGACCGUGAAAUACUGAGAAAUACUGAAACACAAGUACUGAACGAUACUGAAUUUUGUUCAGUAUAAUUGUUCGGUGUAGUACACCUAGAGUGUAGAAUACCACAUAUAUAUUUAACAAAGAGGUAACAUUUCUACCAAUAAUUUUUUUCGUCCAACUCUUCAAUACUCUGAAACCUGUGAUGAGUUUUUUAGUGAACCUACGAUGAAAAUUUUUAUCUACCCUGUUUUUCCCAUGUCCGUUUAGAGUUUUAUUUUUUUUCUAUUUUAGCUGCAAUAAACUUUUAUAUUUAUUGUUUCUUCACGUGCCCAUUUAAGUUUGAUUUCCAUGCUCUUUCCGUUUCUCUCUUUUUUUCAGUUUCCGUUUAAUUUUUCUCCUGUUUUCUUUUCUCAUUUGUUUUCCUUAUUUUUGAAGAAGUAUUUUGAGCCUGUUUCUUCCAUGUCCUUUUUGAAUUUUUUCUUUUUUCUGAUUAUCUUCAAUAAUAAAAUAUAGUAUUAUUAGUCUUUGAAUCUUUACAUCUUCUCUGUCAUUAAUCAAUAAAAUAUUCUUAUCACUAGAUUUCUGGUAUAGUUUUAUUAGGAAUAAAUUUUAUUUUUAUUAUAGCUUGGAUAAAUCAAUGGUCAGACGAAUGUAAUCAUAAAAUGAAGUCUUAAGUAGUUUGUUGUCCAAUCUAAUCAAUAUAUAUAUUCUACAUCUACAUACUUGAUAUUAAAGAGCAAAAUGAUUUUUCCGAUUGUCUUUUGUUACUUAUCACAAUAUCCUUGCACUUCUCUCUGCCCUGUUCGUGAUUGGAAUUUAUGCCCAUAUAAGUUAGAACAACACCAGUCUAACAAUGAUGCGUAAUCUAUAUGUCCCAAAUGUGACCUAUGCUUACAACCCACACUCGGGUAAGUUAGAACAACAUACGUUCAAUGAUGAUAGAAUGUCUAACUACUCCAGACGAAGGCCUCUUAGGUUCAUGCCUCAAGGGAUUUCGUGAGAACAUCUAUCGUUCGUGCCACCAUAUCGGGGCGGUGGUGGUUACAUAACAGGCAAUAUUCAAGUUAACGUCAAUUAAUGAAAAUGGUAGAAGGCAACAUGGGAGAAAUAUUUUGAUGCCGAAUUUCUAAAGUUGAAUCUUUUGGAUGCUAUUUUAGUAAACUUUGGUUCUUUUAGUGGUACAAAUCCAAUUAAUUUUUUAUGGAUUUAAUAGAGCAUUGACAUAUUAUUAGCAAUAUUAGUUUACACAAAAUAAAAUAUAAAAUAAAAACCUAUCAAUACAUAUAUAUUUCAAUAGCUUAUUUCUCCCGUUGCAACGUACGGGCAUGUUUUGCUAGUCAUUUAAAUAAAGUGCAUAUUCCAUUGCGACACACGUAUAGAGGGCGUGUUUGGCAGGAUUCAUCCUAGCUCUGGCUCUGACUCCUCUGAAGGAACCUGCCAAAUGUUUUCAUGGAGGAGUAUUUUUUAGUAAAAAGCAGAUGAGACGAAGUUGUUUUUUGAAAAGCCAUAAAUUAUGACUUCUGCAAAACAACUCUGGCUUCUCUAGAAACCACGCCAAACACCAGGAUUGUAUUUACUAGUUCUAAAAAAAGGAAUCUGACCCCCUAAAAGCUGAGCUUGCCGUGGUAAUAAACGUUUGGAGUUGUCUACUUGUCGAGCCAAAGUUACUCUAUUUUUUUAAUAGAAAAUGGAACAAGGUUCCAGCUUGGGUCAAAGUUAUGGACUUGUGAAUACGAGAUCUAGUCCAUUAUUAUCCUGUCGGGCCUCUUGCUUCAUUGGAGACAUGGGUUGCCAAAACUUCACCAAUGGAGGAAUUCCUGGCCCCCAAUUUAAACAGCGGCAACAGCCCACUCAUUGGCCCUAGGUCGAGACUGGUAUCUCUUGUGACCCAGAUCUGGCCGCAGUUUUGAAUUGAUCUGGUCGUAUAGCCAAUACGAAAGAUGAGCAAAAUGUUGACGCCAAUUAAAAACUCUGUCUUUUUCUUUAAUUAAAAUAAAAUAAAAUAAAAACUAUAUCCGUUUUUCUUCUUUCGGAAGAAGGGAGCUUUAUUAAAAAGUUUUAUAUGAAAAGAUUGUAUUCUAACCUCUGCAUGAGUUUUGUACGGUAAUGAAAAGAGAAGCCAUUACGAUUACAUAUGAGUGCCAAUUAAAAACUCUGUCUUUUUCUUUAAUUAAAAUAAAAUAAAAUAAAAACUAUAUCCGUUUUUCUUCUUUCGGAAGAAGGGAGCUUUAUUAAAAAGUUUUAUAUGAAAAGAUUGUAUUCUAACCUCUGCAUGAGUUUUGUACGGUAAUGAAAAGAGAAGCCAUUACGAUUACAUAUGAGUGCAUUAACAGGCUCUGGAAAAGAGAGAGUUAUCCAAAUGUAAAGAAGAACAGUUC
This 2384-nucleotide long non-coding RNA is filed under the name Sorghum bicolor (sorghum). RNAcentral describes it as "long non-coding RNA (SBIC_LNC000435)". The record is from RNAcentral. Lineage: Eukaryota; Viridiplantae; Streptophyta; Magnoliopsida; Poales; Poaceae.